GAUUAUUUCGCUUGUAAAUAAUAUAAAUAUGACAAUAACUUUAUUGUGUAAAAGAAAUUUUCUAAACAGACCGGGCAUACGCAACCUUGUGUAAAAUCAAUGGUCACAUAUUAACUUGCCCCCCGGGCACAGCUCAACUAGUGGAUCAAUCAACAUUGGCUUGCUUCCAGCGGCAGGGUGGAGAGUUCGAUUCCUGGUGGGAACCUGUGGCCAAAUAUUUGGUAUGGAGCAAUCACUGUGGAGAAGGGUCUCUUGUGCGCAGAAGUGUACAGUUAAUGAGGGGAAUCUGUGAUCCAGUUGAGGCAUAAUCCGCAAUUUACCCCUUCCAAGGUUCUAGGGG
RNAcentral lists this long non-coding RNA (340 nucleotides) under Olea europaea (common olive). RNAcentral's name for it is "long non-coding RNA (OEUR_LNC001302)". Lineage: Eukaryota; Viridiplantae; Streptophyta; Magnoliopsida; Lamiales; Oleaceae. The record is from RNAcentral.